Molecule: microRNA precursor, 83 nt
Filed under: Spodoptera frugiperda (fall armyworm)
Lineage: Eukaryota; Metazoa; Arthropoda; Insecta; Lepidoptera; Noctuidae
Description: microRNA sfr-mir-10465 precursor (sfr-mir-10465-1)
Source: miRBase by way of RNAcentral
GGUGAAAGUGCCGGGUGCGAGGAUACUGGCCAAUGGAAACCUUAUCACACUGACUUGUAUUCUCGCUGCCCAGCAAUUUUGCC